This is a small nucleolar RNA of Vigna angularis (adzuki bean), 88 nucleotides long. It matches the Rfam family "Small nucleolar RNA snoR113". NCBI's taxonomy places the organism in Eukaryota, Viridiplantae, Streptophyta, Magnoliopsida, Fabales, Fabaceae. The record is from Rfam.
UGGCAAUGAUGACUAAAAUUGGAUUUACGGCUACCAUUUACUUCCUUGGUAGUAGACUGAUGAAUUUUGGUUUAGGGUUCUGAGCCAG